CAGGUCUUAUUAGGAGCAUUAUACCUGAAUAUUCUCCCAGUGCCUUCAUCCAGGCCCCAUAUUUCCUCAGGCCUCUUCAGAGCAUUUAAUAAAUUGCCGGUGAGAAGGAGCCUUAGUUUUUUUUCUUUUUUCUUUUUUUUUACAGUAAAGUCCUUCCAAACUGGUGGUUCCUCAGGAGAAAAUCUUCGUAUAUGGAAAGAAGGGCUUUUCCUUGGUUUUGGCAUCAGAAUGAUGAUGACGUUCAAAGGGUGUUGUGAAUUUGAAAUCACCUCCAUUGUUGGGCCUUCCUUGACCACUCUAAGAGAAGCCAGGCAGUAUCACUCCACCAAAUCCUUCCAUUUUAUUAUCCAGGUAGUACUUUUCACAAUCCUGUAUUUUUCUUGUUUGUUGCUAUCUGGAUCCACUUUUAGAAUUUAGUCUACCUUGUUUUCUGCUGUAUCCACAGGGCCUCAGAACACAGUAAGUUUCAUUGGUUAUUCGUCACAUGAAUGUGUUUAUAAAAAGGCACACAAAUGAUAGGAACCCGACUUACAGCUGACUGGUUAGGGUUACUUUGUGAUACUUGGGAAUCAAAGCUCUUGCUGAUGGUAGCAGACAUCUCAAGUUUUUCCUGUGAAUUCACAGUGAUAUAAGAUGGAAGUUACUUCUGACCACCAUAGUAAUGCACAAUGUAUUAUCAGCUCACUGAAAUAUGCUUUCAUUUUCUUGUAACUAAUAUUGAGUAGGGCACUAGCACCAGAAACAGUGCAAGCCACUGCAGAAGCUGGAGUAAACAGGUAAAAGAGCUAACAUUUAUUAAGCACUUAUAUGUCAUGAACACUUGUGCAAAUUUUUCUGCUAUAUUUUAUUGCUUGGAUAUUACCCAAUUUAUUGAUCUAUUCUGCUUUCAAUGAACAUUUCCUGUUUAUACUGAUAAGUAUUUUAACUAAUGUCUCCUAAUGCACAUAUGCAAUGAUUUCUCUUAGAAUGUUGGUUCUUAAUUUGUGGUCCUUGAACAAGGAGCUUAACCUCCAUUAGAUUAGUGAGUCAGAAUCUCUGUGGCUGGGACCCAGAAUCUGGGUAUUAACAAGCUCUCCAGGUGCUCAUGAUGCACAGUAGAAUCACCUGGAGAGCUUUUACCAAAACCUAGGGGUUGAACCCUACUCAGAACAAUUUUGUCAUGAUCUUGCUGGAUAAGUUGCUGUGAUUCUGUGAAGUUGCUGGAGUUGAGAGCUGUGGCUGUUGGUUAUGUAAGUAGAAGUUGGAUUUUCAGGUCCUACAGGAUGGGGUUGUUAAAUUUUACCAAGUGGUUUUCCCAAAUGGUUGUUCUGAUUUAUGCUCCCACCAGCACUUGAUGAGUAUUCUGUUGUUCCAUAUCUUUACCAGAACUUGUAUUAUUUGACUUUAUAAUUAUUGGUGCUUUGAUAGGUAUGAGAUGGUAUAAUUUUAAUUUGUAUUUGUUUGAUUCGUAAUGGAGUUGAGCAUCUUUUUGUAUAUUUAAAGGCCACCAAAACUUUUUUAUCCUCUGAAAUGCAUGUUCUUGGCCUUCUGCUAUUUUUUUCUACUAAAUUGUCUGUUUAUUAAUUUGCGGUAAUUCUUUGGGUGUCCGGGAUAC
This is a long non-coding RNA of Callithrix jacchus (white-tufted-ear marmoset), 1594 nucleotides long. The record is from Ensembl. Lineage: Eukaryota; Metazoa; Chordata; Mammalia; Primates; Cebidae.